GGGCUUUCGCCCCAGGCCUCACAAGGUCGGGAAGGGUUUCCGCGAGCUCACCCUCUCCACUCGCGCACCCGCCGCCGCUUCCUUUAUCUCACGCACCCGUCGUCGCCUCCUCUCCCUCGCGCAAUUGGGGCCAGCUGUUGGGACGACGUUGAGGACGAGGGCGAUGACGUGGUCGGCCUCCUCCACUCUGUGGAGACAACCAAGGCGGUCGCGGUGGCGGUCGCUAGCAUGCAACCCCACUGAGUCGAGCUCAUACGGCAGCUCGACGCCUCCUGUGAGACACGCCGCCACGAGCCGCCUUCUCCACCCACAUCUGCACGCGCAACACAAGUAUGCUUCACCUUCACGCGUGCAACACAGAACACGUUAUUUCGUUUCCACCUAGAUCUCGUGGUCAUGACGCAACCAAUGGCUUCUAUGCAGAUCUCGUCGUCGGCAGCUUCCACACCGCCACUAUGGCAGCCAGUAGGAGGGCCAGCGACAGCCGCGUCGCCGUUAUUCCUCUGACCCUCUUGCUGAUCGAGAGAGGUGGCUGAGAGAGGUGGACCGGCCGACCGGAUGAGCUUGUGGCUAGCUGGAGGAAGAGGUGAGGAGAUGUAUGAUCUGAAUGGGAGUGGGUAGUGGUGGUGGCCUGGCGACGGACAGCAGUGCAGAGUGACGACCUUGCUGCUGUUGUGUCAUGGCGAGAGUGCUUUAGUAGCUUCUUUAUUUGUUUUGACCAGUCUAUAAAAUAAACAAAGAAUCAUUAGCAAUUAUGUAACCACUUGCUUGUGGAUUGUGGUAAUUAUGUCAUAUACGAUAAAACCUGUUAGAUAUGUCACAUAUAUGCUUGUUGCUUGAAAUACUAACAGCACAAUGCAUUUAUUAAGGUGCCGUUUGGUUCACAUAUUUGUAACGUAAUGGGUAACAAAUAACGUUAAAUCAUGUUUGUUUUAGUCCAACCGUAAUCAGAUACCACACUAAAAUUUGAUACCAGCCUAUUCAAAUUUGUUACCGCCAGUAAUCGAGCCGAAACCAUUACCAUUACCAUUUGCGUUACAUUUUUUGAACCAAACAGCACCUAAGUUCUACUACCCUUCUGUUCUUCCUAUUGAAUGUUGCCCCCUUCUGUUUGUCCUCUUCAAACUCAGAUCAGCAAAGCUUCUAUUUUAAUACUAGGAGAAUAUUAUAAUAUACUGUAUGGAUUAGUAAUGCUUUCUUAUGUGCUUAAAUUUCAUUUCUUGUUAUUUAAUUUAAUAGGGAAAAUAACAAUCUUUGAACCUCUAUUGCAUUUCUUGUUAGUUAAUACGAAUGUACAUGUUUGUAUGAUUUCAUAUCUAGCUUGCAUCGGCGUACAAGGUUGAUGCUGGCAGGUGACAGGUUGCCUUGCUAUUGAUGCUGAGAUUGUUGCCCUUCACUUCCUUAGUGCACAGGUGCACAUAGUAAAUGGUCGAAUUGAUUUUUGCGGUGAAUAUUGAAGUUGUACAAUUUUCUGUUAAUUAUUGCUUUCUAUAGAUAUUGAUUUUUCUGUGCAAUGAAUAUUGAAUUUUCUGUUUGGUAGGCAUUCAAAUAUUCUAUGUUAAUUAUUGCUUUCUGUAGAUCU
Molecule: long non-coding RNA, 1582 nt
Filed under: Zea mays
Lineage: Eukaryota; Viridiplantae; Streptophyta; Magnoliopsida; Poales; Poaceae
Description: long non-coding RNA (ZMAY_LNC005891)
Source: RNAcentral